UACAGAGGGUGCAAGCGUUAAUCGGAAUUACUGGGCGUAAAGCGUGCGCAGACGGUUGCGCAAGUCAGAUGUGAAAUCCCCGGGCUUAACCUGGGAACUGCAUUGGUGACUGGCAGGCUUUGAGUGUGGCAGAGGGAGGUAGAAUUCCACGUGUAGCAGUGAAAUGCGUAGAGAUGUGGAGGAAUACCGAUGGCGAAGGCAGCCUCCUGGGCCAACACUGACGCUCAUGCACGAAAGCGUGGGGAGCAAACAGG
Molecule: ribosomal RNA, 254 nt
Filed under: uncultured bacterium
Lineage: Bacteria
Description: partial 16S ribosomal RNA
Rfam family: Bacterial small subunit ribosomal RNA
Source: RNAcentral